UGCUAGGUGAAUCUGGGAACAGUCAUAACGUGUUUCACAAGCAAAGGAACAAAAUACCCUUUCAUGAUUGGGAUUACAGGUUUGGUGAAAAGAGAAGGGUUCUGUCACAGCAAAGGAAGAGGAAGCCAGAUUGCUGACGGGGAGGAACAGGGAGAAACAUUUGCAGGAAGUAGAUGCUACCAAAACCAG
Long non-coding RNA from Physeter macrocephalus (sperm whale), 189 nucleotides. RefSeq lists it as uncharacterized. The record is from RefSeq and is a predicted model, not a curated record. NCBI's taxonomy places the organism in Eukaryota, Metazoa, Chordata, Mammalia, Artiodactyla, Physeteridae. The transcript is spliced from 3 exons.